RNAcentral lists this ribosomal RNA (478 nucleotides) under uncultured bacterium. RNAcentral's name for it is "partial 16S ribosomal RNA". It matches the Rfam family "Bacterial small subunit ribosomal RNA", at positions 28 to 523 of the family's 1533-position model. The record is from RNAcentral.
GACGAACGCUGGCGGCGUGCUUAACACAUGCAAGUCGAACGGUAAGGCCCUUCGGGGUACACGAGUGGCGAACGGGUGAGUAACACGUGGGUGAUCUGCCCUGCACUUCGGGAUAAGCCUGGGAAACUGGGUCUAAUACCGGAUAGGACUCCUGGCUUCAUGGUUGGGGGUGGAAAGCUUUUGCGGUGUGGGAUGGACCCGCUGCCUAUCAGCUUGUUGGUGGGGUAAAGGCCUACGAAGGCGACGAUGGGUAGCCGGGCUGAGAGGGUGACCGGUCACACUUGGAAUGAUGUACGGGCCAGACUCCUACGGGAGGCAGCAGUGGGGAAUAUUGAACAAUGGGCGCAAGCCUGAUGCAGCGACGCCGCGUGAGGGAUGACGGCCUUCGGGUUGUAAACCUCUUUCAGCUAUGACGAAGCGCAAGUGACGGUAGUAGCAGAAGAAGGACCGGCCAACUACGUGCCAGCAGCCGCCGUAA